UGGGGAAUUUUGCGCAAUGGGGGAAACCCUGACGCAGCAACGCCGCGUGAGUGAUGAAGGCCUUCGGGUCGUAAAGCUCUGUCAGAGGGGAAGAAAUGCAGGGGUGCUAAUAUCAUCUUUGCUUGACGGUACCCUCAAAGGAAGCACCGGCUAACUCCGUGCCAGCAGCCGCGGUAAUACGGAGGGUGCGAGCGUUGUUCGGAAUUAUUGGGCGUAAAGCGCGCGUAGGCGGUUUGGUAAGUCUGAUGUGAAAGCCCCGGGCUCAACCUGGGAAGUGCAUUGGAAACUGUCAGAGUUGGAUACGGGAGAGGGUAGUGGGAUUCCUAGUGUGGGGGGGGAAUCCGUAGAUAUUAGGAGGGACACCGGUGGGGAAGGCGGCUACCUGGGGCGAUAUUGACGCUGGGACGCGAAAGCGUGGGGGG
Molecule: ribosomal RNA, 422 nt
Filed under: uncultured bacterium
Lineage: Bacteria
Description: bacterial SSU rRNA
Rfam family: Bacterial small subunit ribosomal RNA
Source: RNAcentral